RNAcentral lists this ribosomal RNA (478 nucleotides) under uncultured bacterium. RNAcentral's name for it is "partial 16S ribosomal RNA". It matches the Rfam family "Bacterial small subunit ribosomal RNA", at positions 28 to 523 of the family's 1533-position model. The record is from RNAcentral.
GACGAACGCUGGCGGCGUGCUUAACACAUGCAAGUCGAACGGUAAGGCCCUUCGGGGUACACGAGUGGCGAACGGGUGAGUAACACGUGGGUGAUCUGCCCUGCACUUCGGGAUAAGCCUGGGAAACUGGGUCUAAUACCGGAUAGGACCCUGGGAUGCAUGUCCUGGGGUGGAAAGCUUUUGCGGUGUGGGAUGGGCCCGCGGCCUAUCAGCUUGUUGGUGGGGUGAUGGCCUACCAAGGCGACGACGGGUAGCCGGCCUGAGAGGGUGACCGGCCACACUGGGAAUGAGAAACGGCCCCGACUCCUACGGGAGGCAGCAGUGGGGAAUAUUGCACAAUGGGCGCAAGCCUGAUGCAGCGACGCCGCGUGAGGGAUGACGGCCUUCGGGUUGUAAACCUCUUUCAGCACCGACGAAGCGCAAGUGACGGUAGGUGCAGAAGAAGCACCGGCUAACUACGUGCCAGCCGCCGCCGUAA